GAUGAACGCUGGCGGCGUGCCUAAUACAUGCAAGUCGAGCGAACAGACGAGGAGCUUGCUCCUCUGACGUUAGCGGCGGACGGGUGAGUAACACGUGGAUAACCUACCUAUAAGACUGGGAUAACUUCGGGAAACCGGAGCUAAUACCGGAUAAUAUAUUGAACCGCAUGGUUCAAUAGUGAAAGACGGUUUUGCUGUCACUUAUAGAUGGAUCCGCGCCGCAUUAGCUAGUUGGUAAGGUAACGGCUUACCAAGGCAACGAUGCGUAGCCGACCUGAGAGGGGGAUCGGCCACACUGGAGCUGAGACACGGUCCAGACUCCUACGGGAGGCAGUAGUAGGGAGUCUUCCGCAAUGGGCGAAAGCCUGACGGAGCAACGCCGCGUGAGUGAUGAAGGUCUUCGGAUCGUAAAACUCUGUUAUUAGGGAAGAACAAAUGUGUAAGUAACGAUGCACGUCUUGACGGUACCUAAUCAGAAAGCCACGGCUAACUACGU
This 496-nucleotide ribosomal RNA is filed under the name uncultured bacterium. Its description in RNAcentral is "partial 16S ribosomal RNA". It matches the Rfam family "Bacterial small subunit ribosomal RNA", at positions 28 to 506 of the family's 1533-position model. The record is from RNAcentral.